GACGAACGCUGGCGGCGUGCUUAACACAUGCAAGUCGAACGGAAAGGCCCUGCUUUUGUGGGGUGCUCGAGUGGCGAACGGGUGAGUAACACGUGAGUAACCUGCCCUUGACUUUGGGAUAACUUCAGGAAACUGGGGCUAAUACCGGAUAGGAGCUCCUGCUGCAUGGUGGGGGUUGGAAAGUUUCGGCGGGUGGGGAUGGACUGGCGGCUUAUCAGCUUGUUGGUGGGGUAGUGGCUUACGAAGGCUUUGACGGGUAGCCGGCCUGAGAGGGUGACCGGCCACAUUGGGACUGAGAUACGGCCCAGACUCCUACGGGAGGCAGCAGUGGGGAAUAUUGCACAAUGGGCGGAAGCCUGAUGCAGCAACGCCGCGUGCGGGAUGACGGCCUUCGGGUUGUAAACCGCUUUCGCCUGUGACGAAGCGUGAGUGACGGUAAUGGGUAAAGAAGCACCGGCUAACUACGUG
This 468-nucleotide ribosomal RNA is filed under the name uncultured bacterium. RNAcentral describes it as "partial 16S ribosomal RNA". It matches the Rfam family "Bacterial small subunit ribosomal RNA", at positions 28 to 507 of the family's 1533-position model. The record is from RNAcentral.